Calypte anna (Anna's hummingbird) is the source of this 815-nucleotide long non-coding RNA. RefSeq lists it as uncharacterized. The transcript has 3 exons. The record is from RefSeq and is a predicted model, not a curated record. Lineage: Eukaryota; Metazoa; Chordata; Aves; Apodiformes; Trochilidae.
GCCUCGCCUCACACCAUGGACAGCGCAGCCCGCGCGCCGCCUGAGGGAACGCGGCCUCCGGGAGGGCCCCUCGGGCCUGACAGAACCAGCAACCCCCGCAGGACCGCCGGGCCGGGCCGGGCGGUACCGGAGCCGGGGUAAGCCACAGGCCGGGUUCGACACAAGGGAGGGAGACUUCGAGUGAGGCGAGGGCUGUUCCGAGCGCCUCGUCGGGGUCAGGCGCUGCGAAAUCCCUCAUGAACUUCAGGAGGUUGAUGAGGAAGUUUCGUGAGGUGAGGUGAGGGGGGACGGGUCUGACUUGGACACCGCUGCUCUCGGAAAUCCAAAUUCAUCACACUUUGGCUCAAACUGCGGGAGGCGAGUACCCAGAGGCGGAUGUGUGUCACGUUUCUGAUGAGCUUUGUGCUCGUAUACCCUACAAGUGUGUUCCAGACCUGUCCCAUCUGGGCCAUGACAGGGCUCCGCAUGGGAUUCUUCCUCUGGAUCAAGACAGAAGUGCUCAAGAUCUCUUCGACAGACGAAGCUCAGUUCUAUACCACGGAUCCACCCAGUACUGCCAUAUGCCUUCUUUGCAAGAGCAAGCAGAAUGGAAACUGGACUAGAAACAAGAGCUCUCCAAACACAUCGCAGGCAGGACUUGACAUUCACCACAUAGUAUCACAACAGAAGUCUUGGAGACAAAGCUGAAGCAGAAUAAAGAAGCAGCUUUUCAGAUGUCAGAGAACUCUUCCCAUAUGUGAAAAACCAACAUAGGAGGGAAGAUGAUGCUGACUUCAGAAUGUAACUGAUGGACUGUGAGGGACCUGACCCAUCUC